Molecule: long non-coding RNA, 362 nt
Organism: Zingiber officinale
Lineage: Eukaryota; Viridiplantae; Streptophyta; Magnoliopsida; Zingiberales; Zingiberaceae
Exons: 3
Source: RefSeq, a predicted model, not a curated record
GUGGUGUUCUGCAAUCCGGCAACGUCUCCUUCCGGCAGCCACCAGCUAUGAUUGAGGAGGAACAGAGAGUGAAUUGUUGAUCUCCUCUCUUGAUCCGAUCCGUGAGGUGAGUUUUGUUUACUGUGAGGUUUUGGUUGUGAAUUAGGGUUCCGAUCUCUUCUCUGUUCGUUAGCAAGAACAAGAUCGAGCCCUAAUCGGGAUAUUGGAGAGGUUUUUGUGGUGAUUCCGGCCACCACAGCUGGAUUGGACUGAUUCCUCCACUAGAGUUGUGAUCAUCUCCGGUGAUAGAAGAAGCAGAGGACCUUGAUCUGGACGAGUUGCGUGACGUGGUGGUUCUGUUGAUUUCGGGAUAUAUCGAGGCG